UCGUAACAAGGUUUCCGUAGGUGAACCUGCGGAAGGAUCAUUACCGAGUGAGGGCCCUCUGGGUCCAACCUCCCACCCGUGUCUAUCGUACCUUGUUGCUUCGGCGGGCCCGCCUCACGGCCGCCGGGGGGCAUCUGCCCCCGGGCCUGCGCCCGCCGAAGACACCUAUGAACUCUGUCUGAAGAUUGCAGUCUGAGUGAAAUGAUAAAUUAUUUAAAACUUUCAACAACGGAUCUCUUGGUUCCGGCAUCGAUGAAGAACGCAGCGAAAUGCGAUACGUAAUGUGAAUUGCAGAAUUCAGUGAAUCAUCGAGUCUUUGAACGCACAUUGCGCCCUCUGGUAUUCCGGAGGGCAUGCCUGUCCGAGCGUCAUUGCUGCCCUCAAGCACGGCUUGUGUGUUGGGCCCUGUCCUCCAUCCCCGGGGGACAGGCCCGAAAGGCAGCGGCGGCACCGCGUCCGGUCCUCGAGCGUAUGGGGCUUUGUCACCCGCUCUGUAGGCCCGGCCGGCGCCAGCCGAUCAACCACACUUCUUUACAGGUG
Molecule: unclassified non-coding RNA, 540 nt
Filed under: Penicillium sp. MK2-2020
Lineage: Eukaryota; Fungi; Ascomycota; Eurotiomycetes; Eurotiales; Aspergillaceae
Description: sequence contains 18S rRNA gene, ITS1, 5.8S rRNA gene, ITS2, 28S rRNA gene
Rfam family: 5.8S ribosomal RNA (bases 218-371)
Source: RNAcentral